UCUUACGGCCAUACCACCCUGAGCGCGCCCGAUCUCGUCUGAUCUCGGAAGCUAAGCAGGGUCGGGCCUGGUUAGUACUUGGAUGGGAGACCGCCUGGGAAUACCAGGUGCUGUAAGCU
RNAcentral lists this ribosomal RNA (119 nucleotides) under Labeo rohita (rohu). Lineage: Eukaryota; Metazoa; Chordata; Actinopteri; Cypriniformes; Cyprinidae. The record is from RNAcentral.